RNAcentral lists this ribosomal RNA (539 nucleotides) under uncultured bacterium. RNAcentral describes it as "bacterial SSU rRNA". It matches the Rfam family "Bacterial small subunit ribosomal RNA", at positions 777 to 1314 of the family's 1533-position model. The record is from RNAcentral.
AAUAGAUACCCCGGUAGUCCACGCCGUAAACGAUGAGUGCUAGGUGUUGGGGGGACCCCCCUCAGUGCCGCAGGUAACCCAAUAAGCACUCCGCCUGGGGAGUACGGUCGCAAGACUGAAACUCAAAGGAAUUGACGGGGGCCCGCACAAGCGGUGGAGCAUGUGGUUUAAUUCGAAGCAACGCGAAGAACCUUACCAGGGCUUGACAUCCCGCUGAUCGGUGUAGAGAUAUGCCUUUCCCCUUCGGGGGACAGCGGUGACAGGUGGUGCAUGGUUGUCGUCAGCUCGUGUCGUGAGAUGUUGGGUUCAGUCCCGCAACGAGCGCAACCCUUGUUUCUAGUUGCCAGCACUUCGGGUGGGCACUCUAGAGAGACAGCUGGUGAAAGCCGGAGGAAGGUGGGGAUGACGUCAAAUCAUCAUGCCCCUUAUGUCCUGGGCUACACACGUGCUACAAUGGCUGGUACAAAGGGCAGCGAACCCGCGAGGGGGAGCCAAUCCCAAAAAACCAGUCUCAGUUCGGAUUGCAGGCUGCGACUCCG